UGGGGGAUAUUGCACAAUGGAGGAAACUCUGAUGCAGCAACGCCGCGUGAGGGAAGAAGGUCUUCGGAUUGUAAACCUCAGUAGUCAGGGACGAAAGAAAUGACGGUACCUGAAGAGUAAGCUCCGGCUAACUACGUGCCAGCAGCCGCGGUAAUACGUAGGGAGCGAGCGUUGUCCGGAUUUACUGGGUGUAAAGGGUGCGUAGGCGGGAUAGCAAGUCAGACGUGAAAUACCGAGGCUUAACUUCGGGGCUGCGUUUGAAACUGUUAUUCUUGAGUGAAGUAGAGGCAGGCCGAAUUCCUAGUGUAGCGGUGAAAUGCGUAGAUAUUAGGAGGAACACCAGUGGCGAAGGCGGCCUGCUGGGCUUUAACUGACGCUGAGGCACGAAAGCAUGGGGAGCAAACA
This 405-nucleotide ribosomal RNA is filed under the name uncultured bacterium. Its description in RNAcentral is "bacterial SSU rRNA". It matches the Rfam family "Bacterial small subunit ribosomal RNA", at positions 355 to 774 of the family's 1533-position model. The record is from RNAcentral.